Molecule: ribosomal RNA, 497 nt
Filed under: uncultured bacterium
Lineage: Bacteria
Description: partial 16S ribosomal RNA
Rfam family: Bacterial small subunit ribosomal RNA
Source: RNAcentral
GAUGAACGCUGGCGGCGUGCCUAAUACAUGCCAGUCGAGCGAACAGACGAGGAGCUUGCUCCUUCGACGUUAGCGGCGGACGGGUGAGUAACACGUAGGUAACCUACCUAUAAGACUGGGAUAACUUCGGGAAACCGGAGCUAAUACCGGAUAAUAUUUCGAACCGCAUGGUUCGAUAGUGAAAGAUGGCUUUGCUAUCACUUCUAGAUGGACCUGCGCCGUAUUAGCUAGUUGGUAAGGUAACGGCUUACCAAGGCAACGAUACGUAGCCGACCUGAGAGGGUGAUCGGCCACACUGGAGCUGAGACACGGUCCAGACUCCUACGGGAGGCAGCAGUAGGGAAUCUUCCGCAAUGGGCGAAAGCCUGACGGAGCAACGCCGCGUGAGUGAUGAAGGUCUUCGGAUCGUAAAACUCUGUUAUUAGGGAAGAACAAACGUGUAAGUAACUGUGCACGUCUUGACGGUACCUAAUCAGAAAGCCACGGCUAACUACGUG